ACGUCAUUUUGUGAAACGGCGCAGCUCUUUGCAGUCUGCAGCCGAAGACGGUCAAGAUGAAGAUAUCCUCUCUCCUUAUUGGUAUUAUAUUCACCACCAUGGUGGAAGCCGCAGUAGGCUCACUGGAAGAGCGACCUGCUGGAAAAUCAAAGUCUCUUCUCCGGACGAAAAGGCAACAUCCAGUCCUCAUUUCCCAUCCGGUGCCUAUGCCUGACAGUGUUCCGGCCGAGUCUCCUGCUUCUGCCGACCCUGCCCUCAACGCCCAUGGCAAAGGCAUUGCACCCGAUGUAGGCGUAGAGAUCGAUAUCAACGCUCACAACCUACGAUGGGCAUGUGUCGAUAUAGACAUCGAUAUUGGUCGGUAACUUUCACCUUUAGAUUUGUGAGAAAACCAUGAAUUUAAUGUCUUUCUUUCUUGAAGAUUGUAUGUGAUUUAGUAGAAUACGCUGUGGUGUCGCAUGUUUUCCCCUGCUCGGCUGAAUAUUGAGUGAGCACGCUUUUUUUGUGGAUUUCACGAUGUUGUAACAUUGUUUUAUCACAGUGCAUUCCCUAAUACCUCUGUCAGCUGUUGACAGAUCCAAAAGCAGAUAUUCUGAAGUGAUGAGAAGCCAUUGGAAUGGCUGCUUUUGACGCCAUGAUGACGAAAGCCGCGACUCGACCUGAACGCAAAGAGCAAAACCUGAUAUAGAACCAAUUUAAAAGUACCCAAGAGCUCUGGAUCCGCUGGAGUUUCCUCGGAGUGACUCAUCACUGAAUUCGCGGAAUUCUAAGGAAUCGGAUUUGAAAGGACUCGCUCGAGCGAUGCAAAGGAGCCUUCCCUUGACGACAGCUCACAGACCUCACAACAGAAGAGCAACUUAUGCUACGUCACUACGUCUCACCAGCUAUGAAGGAACAAAGUCAGCACCGUUACAGGUAGUGGAUUGAGUUUUCUGAAAGGUUAGCGUUGUGGAGCCUUUGCUGACGAGAAGGCUAAAGACGACGAAGAUGCAAAAGAGAAAAUUUAAUGAUAAUGAUAAGUAACAGACCUGUAUAGCAUGAAAGUGAAUGGCAGGGAUUGGUAAGCGUUCUAAAUUCUAAUUUAAUGCCAUAUUCCUAACUACCUUGCAUUCCAACUAUGAAUUUCAUCAUGCAUGUACUGCACUCAAUAAAUCAAUGAUUAAUCAUAUUGCAUAUCUAUGUUGCUCUGUAAAUAUAUAGUUUAUAAAAUGAUUGUUAUCAGCAGAUGAAAUUUAUUAAAGAUAUGACAAUGUUAUAAUA
This 1260-nucleotide unclassified non-coding RNA is filed under the name Penaeus japonicus. RNAcentral's name for it is "uncharacterized LOC122260808, transcript variant X1". Lineage: Eukaryota; Metazoa; Arthropoda; Malacostraca; Decapoda; Penaeidae. The record is from RNAcentral.